GAAGUGGACAACCAGCGGACCAGAGUGCGAACUAAAUAAAAACAAGUUGUUUGCUGGCUCCGCCAGGUGACCUGCCUGGUCGGAGGUUGACCUAAAAAAGACCGUUUUAUUACACUUAGCAUUACACGAUACAUUUCACAAUAUCACAGCACAAUAAAUCAGUAAGUAAAUGAAAACAAUAACAAAGAUCCCUACGUAGUGUUUUGUGUCAGUGUGGUGACAUUUGUACGAAUUCACCACACUGCUGUCGGGGGGCGUUUGUUAGUAUCUGGAACACUAGAUACGUUAGGGUUCCAACACUUACCCUGAAGUUAAAUCAUGGAUCUAAGUAAUUCCAUCAAUAUUAUGAAUUUUAAUGCUCGCUCUUUAAAAGCGAAAGAAAAUGAAUUUUUCAACUUUUUACGAGUUUAUAACGUACAUGUUGCUGUUAUAACCGAAACUUUUGUAUCACCACGUACACCCGGUGGCCGUUGUCGUACGUGAGAGACAAUUAACAUUUAACAAAUUAAAAGCAAAGACAAAAAAAAAGACUUAGGGGAGUUUGGGGUAAUAUGGACAGUGGGGGUAAUUUGGACACCCCUUAAAAAAACACAUUUUCUUCGGAUAUAAAGUGAAAACGGCAAUUUAAGUGAUAAGGCUAGUACUAGUAAUGGCCUAGGAGUAUGGACAAACCAAAAAAGUUGGAAUAGGUUAAGUAGUUUUGGUAUAAUAUGUAAAAGUUUCCAAAGGCCGGUUGGCACGGCCUUAAAUUCUAAUAUUUGAAGGUUAGGAAAUAAGGUUUUGCAGGGGUUAUAUGGCAAAAAAGUGGACAUUUUUUGUUUAAGGGGGUUGCUUGGACGAUGCCAGAAAUAUGUACGUAUUAAAAUUGUUCAUUUUAUCCAUUUUUAUCAUCAAAAAUUGCAAUUAAUGAUAGAACAUGCUAUGGGGGUAAUUUGGACAUGGCUUGUGGGAUAAUUUGGACAUACCUGAAAGUGUACCUGUCAGGCAACAAAAAAGUAACUUUCAUGGUUGGAUGAGUUUUUAAAGGGAUUUAGAUAAAUUUAGAGGGAUUUAAUAUGUCAAAACAAUCAAAAAGGAAUGUGAGCAAUGAGAACUUUCACGAAACCCCUAUUUUUUUUAAUUUAGAUAAAUUUAUUCCAAUAUUCGAAUUAAUGAAAAUCUGAUUACUGUACGUUUGGCGUUCAACAAGACUCUAAUGUUGAUUGCUUCUAGUUAAUUUCUUUGACAUUUCUAAUUUCUAUGCAGGUUUACAAUAAUAUUUAAAUUUGAAGGGCUACAGAAUGUAAAAUUUAAAAAAAAAGGUGCAGGUGGUUAUGUUCUACAUGACCAAUAUGACAAAGAACUUUGUACAAAACUCCUAAAAAAUAUUCUAUUUUAUUUUAUAUUUUUAAAACAUUGCCUAUGUAUUUAAUCCUAAAUAAUUUAUUCCUGUAAAAUGUUUUCAAUCUUUGGCACCUCUGUGGAAAUAAAUUGCCAAAACAAGUAUGGUUCGGAAAAUGUCCAAUCAAAAUGGUAAUUUUCAUGUCCAGUAUCAAAAACCAUGAAUUUUGGUACCCAUAUUGCCCCAAGUCGAAUAGUUCGAUUAAUGUCCCCCCGGUAGAACCUUCCCGAGGGCAUUUGCCACUCCGGGUGUGGCCAAUAUCCUAUAAAUUAGAGAUCCUAAAUAGGGAGACUGGACGAAGUGAAUUUGACGUACCCAAACAGACGCGAGUUUGACGUAUCCAAACGAGCAUUUGCCUUUACGCCCAGCAAAACUUAUCAGUGUUGCCAAGCUCAAAACAUACGUUGCCAGAUCGAUUUAGCAAGCUUAGACCAGUCUCCCUAUUUAGGGUCUCUACUAUAAAUGUGGUCCCAAGCCUAUUGCCCCAAAUCAUUCUGGUCCGGUGACCGUCCUUACAAUCUUCAUAAAAACAGAAUUCCUCCCAAUUUAGUGCACAAACUGUGUCUUUCAAUGUGUGCGUGUGUGUGUGUGUGUGUGUGUGUGUGAGCAAUAAAAUCACAGAGAACAGAUGUAUAACACAUAGGAAAAUCCAUUGAAAAAGCUGUGUAAAAAUUCAAACCAAAAUAAGUUACAAAGGGUGUAAAAGAUCCGCAUAGAUGGCGUGUCUGCCCAGUGAAAAAUAUUUUACGACCAUCAGCCCCGCAUCGGCCGUACCUGCGGCCGUACAUUCCCACAGGGGUGGCGAGGUCAGCAAAGCUGGUGAUGAAAUGUCAAAUCAGAAUUGUAAACAUAAACAUAGCCUGCGAUUCGUGAUUCGUUUUAUGGAGAAAAAAUAAUUCUAAGGAAAUUUCCAAUGUUGGUGAACAAACUUUAAAAGCCUAACCAGCAGUAACUUCGAAGACCCGGUCACCAGAUGAGCGGUGUUGUGGUGCAGUGCGCUGGCAAGUUGUUAUCGUCACAGGCUACCGAAGAGGAGAUGGCCAAAAAUGAUUUAUUCCUUACCGUAUAGUUAGCUGUUCGACAUGAAAAACAAGUUCCACAUCGGCAAACCUGCAUAAGACGAAGGGAUUUCAAGGCAGGACCAUGACGAGUUCAUCAGCAACAACUUUAAGCGAAGGGCUGCGAAAUUGGCAGCGAACGAUUUCGCUUCUGAAAUCAACCGGAACUUCUCGGAGAGUGCGGUAAACCAUCUCCAACCUUUCACCACCCAAAAUGAAGCAAGAGAUAUGUACUUUUGAAGCAUCUAGAAAAUAGAAUUUUAAAAAGCUGA
Culex pipiens pallens (northern house mosquito) is the source of this 2711-nucleotide long non-coding RNA. RefSeq lists it as uncharacterized. The transcript has 2 exons. Lineage: Eukaryota; Metazoa; Arthropoda; Insecta; Diptera; Culicidae. The record is from RefSeq and is a predicted model, not a curated record.